RNAcentral lists this long non-coding RNA (366 nucleotides) under Homo sapiens (human). RNAcentral's name for it is "non-protein coding lnc-NR0B1-2:1". The record is from RNAcentral. Lineage: Eukaryota; Metazoa; Chordata; Mammalia; Primates; Hominidae.
GCCUUGUGCUGCCACACCUAAAAAAUGGCUCCUGCACCCAUGUAAGAAGCAAUCUGCUUUCUCAGCCAUCUUGGCUCACCUGUUCUUUGACUACCCCACCCUGCCUGGGGCUCCAGUACUGAGUGUAUCUACAGUGCUAUGGGGACACCUAGGAGAACUCUAACCAGUCUUGAGAUGGGCUUGCUGUGGGUAAGACAGUGAAAUUCAAGGAAGGAAUAGAAGACGGUGGAGAGAAGAAUAGAAAAACACUCUGGACAGAGAGGAAAGAGCAUGAGUGAGAAAAAGCCUGGGAGCUUUGGGGAAAAUAAAAUAGUUUUGAAGGGGCUGAAGCUAAAGUGUAGACGAGGGGCAAGUAGAGGGAAGAUU